CCAAUUGAUUGAUGGUGCUUGCACCUGAUUGAUUUUGGUCGCCAACGAGUGGCGGACGGGUGAGUAACACGUAGGUAACCUGCCCAGAAGCGGGGGACAACAUUUGGAAACAGAUGCUAAUACCGCAUAACARCGUUGUUCGCAUGAACAACGCUUAAAAGAUGGCUUCUCGCUAUCACUUCUGGAUGGACCUGCGGUGCAUUAGCUUGUUGGUGGGGUAACGGCCUACCAAGGCGAUGAUGCAUAGCCGAGUUGAGAGACUGAUCGGCCACAAUGGGACUGAGACACGGCCCAUACUCCUACGGGAGGCAGCAGUAGGGAAUCUUCCACAAUGGGCGCAAGCCUGAUGGAGCAACACCGCGUGAGUGAAGAAGGGUUUCGGCUCGUAAAGCUCUGUUGUUAAAGAAGAACACGUAUGAGAGUAACUGUUCAUACGUUGACGGUAUUUAACCAGAAAGUCACGGCUAACUACGUGCCAGCAGCCGCGGUAAUACGUAGGUGGCAAGCGUUAUCCGGAUUUAUUGGGCGUAAAGAGAGUGCAGGCGGUUUUCUAAGUCUGAUGUGAAAGCCUUCGGCUUAACCGGAGAAGUGCAUCGGAAACUGGAUAACUUGAGUGCAGAAGAGGGUAGUGGAACUCCAUGUGUAGCGGUGGAAUGCGUAGAUAUAUGGAAGAACACCAGUGGCGAAGGCGGCUACCUGGUCUGCAACUGACGCUGAGACUCGAAAGCAUGGGUAGCGAACAGGAUUAGAUACCCUGGUAGUCCAUGCCGUAAACGAUGAGUGCUAGGUGUUGGAGGGUUUCCGCCCUUCAGUGCCGGAGCUAACGCAUUAAGCACUCCGCCUGGGGAGUACGACCGCAAGGUUGAAACUCAAAGGAAUUGACGGGGGCCCGCACAAGCGGUGGAGCAUGUGGUUUAAUUCGAAGCUACGCGAAGAACCUUACCAGGUCUUGACAUCUUGCGCCAACCCUAGAGAUAGGGCGUUUCCUUCGGGAACGCAAUGACAGGUGGUGCAUGGUCGUCGUCAGCUCGUGUCGUGAGAUGUUGGGUUAAGUCCCGCAACGAGCGCAACCCUUGUUACUAGUUGCCAGCAUUAAGUUGGGCACUCUAGUGAGACUGCCGGUGACAAACCGGAGGAAGGUGGGGACGACGUCAGAUCAUCAUGCCCCUUAUGACCUGGGCUACACACGUGCUACAAUGGACGGUACAACGAGUCGCGAACUCGCGAGGGCAAGCAAAUCUCUUAAAACCGUUCUCAGUUCGGACUGCAGGCUGCAACUCGCCUGCACGAAGUCGGAAUCGCUAGUAAUCGCGGAUCAGCAUGCCGCGGUGAAUACGUUCCCGGGCCUUGUACACACCGCCCGUCACACCAUGAGAGUUUGUAACACCCAAAGUCGGUA
Molecule: ribosomal RNA, 1399 nt
Filed under: Limosilactobacillus fermentum
Lineage: Bacteria; Bacillati; Bacillota; Bacilli; Lactobacillales; Lactobacillaceae
Description: bacterial SSU rRNA
Source: RNAcentral